UCCCGUUGAUCCUGCGGGAGGUUGCUGCUAUCAGGGUUCGAUUCAGCCAUGCAAGUUUGCUCUCGCAAGAGGGCGGCAGACUGCUCAGUAACACGUCGAUAACUUAACCUUGGGUCUAGGAUAGCCUCGGGAAACUGAGGGUAAACCUGGAUAGGGGAUUGGUACUGGGAUGUCCUUUCCUUUAAAAGUAAUGCCCAAGGAUAGGUCGGCGGUGGAUUAGGUUGUUGGUGAGGUAACGGCCCACCAAGCCGAAGAUCCAUAGAGGCCUUGAGAGAGGUAGCCUCGAGAAGGGCACUGAGAUACUGGCCCUAGCCCUACGGGGUGCAGCAGGCGCGAAACCUUUACAAUGCACGAAAGUGUGAUAAGGGAACCCUGAGUGCUUAGCUUUUGCUAGGCUUUUUUCAAGGGUAAAUACCUUGAAGAAUAAGUGGUGGGCAAGACUGGUGCCAGCCGCCGCGGUAACACCAGCGCCACGAGUGGGAACCGGUUUUAUUUGGCCUAAAGCGUCCGUAGCCGGUUUGGUAAAUCUUUUGUGAAAUCGUUGGGCUUAACUUAACGGCGUGCAGAAGACACUGCCAAACUUGGGACCAGGAGGAGUCAGAAGUAUUUCUGGGGUAGCGGUAAAAUGCAAUAAUCCCAGGAAGACUACCCGUGGCGAAGGCGUCUGACUAGAAUGGAUCCGACGGUGAGGGACGAAAGCUAGGGGAGCGAUCCGGAUUAGAUACCCGAGUAGUCCUAGCUGUAAACGCUGCGAGCAAGGUGUUGCAUAUUCUUCGUGAAUAUGCAGUGUCGAAACGAAGGUGUUAAGCUCGCCGCCUGGGAAGUACGGUCGCAAGACUGAAACUUUAAGGAAUUGGCGGGGGAGCACUACAAGGGGUGCGGCGUGCGGUUUAAUCUAACUCAACGCAGGGAAUCUCACCAGAAGCGACGGCAGGAUGAAAGUCAGAUUGAAGGUUUUACUUGACGAGCUAGAGGUAGUGCAUGGCCGUCGUCAGCUCGUGCCGUGAGGUGUCCUGUUAAGUCAGGCAACGAGCGAGACCUGUGCUUACAAUAGCUAACGAUUGAUUUAUCAAGAUCGAGCACAUUGUAGGGACUGCCUGUGAAAACAGGAGGAAGGUGCAGGCUACGGUAGGUCUGUAUGCUCCGAAUCUUCUGGGCUACACGCGCGCAACAAUGGUAGGGACAAUGGGAUACAACUCCGAAAGGAGAAGUUAAACCUCUAAACCCUAUCUUAGUCCAGAUUGAGGAUUGUAACUCAUCCUCAUGACGCUGGAAUCCCUAGUAAUCGGAUUUCAUCAUAGUCCGGUGAAUAUGUCCCUGCUCCUUGCACACACCGCCCGUCAAACCACUCGAGCAGGGUUUAGGUGAGGAUUGGUUUUUUUGAUCACUCCGAACCUGAGCUCAGUGAGAUGGGUUAAGUCGUCACAAGGUA
RNAcentral lists this ribosomal RNA (1432 nucleotides) under metagenome. RNAcentral's name for it is "bacterial SSU rRNA". It matches the Rfam family "Archaeal small subunit ribosomal RNA". The record is from RNAcentral.